UCCUACGGGAGGCAGCAGUAGGGAAUCUUCCGCAAUGGACGAAAGUCUGACGGAGCAACGCCGCGUGAGUGAUGAAGGCUUUCGGGUCGUAAAACUCUGUUGUUAGGGAAGAACAAGUGCUAGUUGAAUAAGCUGGCACCUUGACGGUACCUAACCAGAAAGCCACGGCUAACUACGUGCCAGCAGCCGCGGUAAUACGUAGGUGGCAAGCGUUAUCCGGAAUUAUUGGGCGUAAAGCGCGCGCAGGUGGUUUCUUAAGUCUGAUGUGAAAGCCCACGGCUCAACCGUGGAGGGUCAUUGGAAACUGGGAGACUUGAGUGCAGAAGAGGAAAGUGGAAUUCCAUGUGUAGCGGUGAAAUGCGUAGAGAUAUGGAGGAACACCAGUGGUGAAGGCGACUUUCUGGUCUGUAACUGACACUGAGGCGCGAAAGCGUGGGGAGCAAACAGGAUUAGAUACCCUGGUAGUCCACGCCGUAAACGAUGAGUGCUAAGUGUUAGAGGGUUUCCGCCCUUUAGUGCUGAAGUUAACGCAUUAAGCACUCCGCCUGGGGAGUACGGCCGCAAGGCUGAAACUCAAAUGAAUUGACGGA
This 590-nucleotide ribosomal RNA is filed under the name uncultured bacterium. RNAcentral's name for it is "bacterial SSU rRNA". It matches the Rfam family "Bacterial small subunit ribosomal RNA", at positions 337 to 917 of the family's 1533-position model. The record is from RNAcentral.